UCACAACAAGCCCAGCCCACCGACACAUCUAUAUAUAACCCUCUGCCUGCAGCAACCUCAGCUCUGCAGCAGGAGGUGCUGACCCCCGGGGAGGAUGGAGGUUCCUUGAAGUGCCAGCAGCUGGGAUUGGUGGUCAAACAGGACAGCAGGGCCUGGCUAUGCUUCACUUGGAUUGUAAGGUCUGCUCCAGCACUCAGAGAGAACCAGAUGUUGGUGUGCCAUCAUUAAACCUGCAGCGAUGGGGAGCCAAACUUACCUCUAGUCCCAGCUCUUCAUGGAGAGAUGUCCCUGGGGGGCCCAGCAGCGACAGAUCAGGCUCAAUGCCACAAAGAGGGUCAAGAACAAACCUUUGGCUCUUCAUGAACUGCUUGGAGGAAAAGGCAGCAGCAGGGCAAAAUGACAGGAAAUGCAAAGCUAUUAAAACAUACUUUGAUAUCCAAGCUAUUUACAUCCUGAGAUAGCCAAACAUACCACGGUGUCU
Molecule: long non-coding RNA, 481 nt
Organism: Empidonax traillii (willow flycatcher)
Lineage: Eukaryota; Metazoa; Chordata; Aves; Passeriformes; Tyrannidae
Exons: 4
Source: RefSeq, a predicted model, not a curated record